UGCGCUUGUGGCGAAAUUGGUAGACGCGCUAGACUUAGGAUCUAGUGGUUUAGGCCGUGUAGGUUCGAGUCCUAUCAGGCGCACCC
This 86-nucleotide transfer RNA is filed under the name Segatella copri. RNAcentral's name for it is "Prevotella copri tRNA-Leu(tag)". It matches the Rfam family "tRNA". Rfam says of the family: Transfer RNA (tRNA) molecules are approximately 80 nucleotides in length. Their secondary structure includes four short double-helical elements and three loops (D, anti-codon, and T loops). The record is from RNAcentral. Lineage: Bacteria; Pseudomonadati; Bacteroidota; Bacteroidia; Bacteroidales; Prevotellaceae.